GUCUAUGGCCAUGCCACCUUGAACAUGCCGGAUCCCAUCUGAUCUUGGAAGCUAAGCGGGGUCGGGCCUGGUUAAUACUUGGAUGGGAGACUACCUAGGAAGACCAGGUGCAGUAGGCA
Molecule: ribosomal RNA, 119 nt
Filed under: Pteropus alecto (black flying fox)
Lineage: Eukaryota; Metazoa; Chordata; Mammalia; Chiroptera; Pteropodidae
Source: RNAcentral